CAAAUUACAGCAAAGAGCUAUUUAUUAUUUACAUUAAUAAUUUUAUUGUGCAAUUCAAUAUAAUUUGA
RNAcentral lists this transfer RNA (68 nucleotides) under Orius sauteri. RNAcentral's name for it is "tRNA-Val". RNAcentral also lists the same sequence under 1 other name. Lineage: Eukaryota; Metazoa; Arthropoda; Insecta; Hemiptera; Anthocoridae. The record is from RNAcentral.